AAGUCGUAACAAGGUCUCCGUAGGUGAACCUGCGGAGGGAUCAUUACCGAGUGAGGGCUCCGGCCCGACCUCCAACCCUUUGUCGUUACACAUCUCAGUUGCCUCGGGGGGCGACCCGGCGACGCGCCGGCGGACCCCCCGGUGGACACCCGCAACUCUUGCGUUUCUGCGUCGGAGUCUCAUGGGAAUCUGAAUCAAA
RNAcentral lists this unclassified non-coding RNA (199 nucleotides) under plant metagenome. RNAcentral describes it as "partial contains small subunit ribosomal RNA and internal transcribed spacer 1". The stretch from base 1 to 46 matches the Rfam family "Eukaryotic small subunit ribosomal RNA", at positions 1786 to 1831 of the family's 1831-position model. The record is from RNAcentral.